RNAcentral lists this ribosomal RNA (468 nucleotides) under uncultured bacterium. RNAcentral's name for it is "partial 16S ribosomal RNA". It matches the Rfam family "Bacterial small subunit ribosomal RNA", at positions 28 to 507 of the family's 1533-position model. The record is from RNAcentral.
AACGAACGCUGGCGGCGUGCUUAACACAUGCAAGUCGAACGGAAAGGCCCUGCUUUUGUGGGGUGCUCGAGUGGCGAACGGGUGCGUAACACGUGAGUAACCUGCCCUUGACUUUGGGAUAACUUCAGGAAACUGGGGCUAAUCCCGGAUAGCAGCUCCUGCUGCGUGGUGGGGGUUGGAUAGUUUCGGCGGUUGGGGAUGGACUCGCGGCUUAUCAGCUUGUUGGUGGGGUAGUGGCUUACCAAGGCUUUGACGGGUAGCCGGCCUGAGAGGGUGACCGGCGACAUGGGGACUGAGAUACGGACCAGACGGCUACGGGAGGCAGCAGUGGGGAAUAUUGCACAGUGGGAGGAAGCCUGAGGCAGCAACGCCGCGUGCGGGAUGACGGCCUUCGGGUUGUAAACCGCUUUAGCCUGUGACGAAGCGGGAGUGACGGUAAUGGGUAAAGAAGCACCGGCUAACUACGUG